AAAAAUGUAAGAAGAAAAACAAUAAAUGGUACCUGGAAAGGAAAUGAAGUGAGGAAACAUUUAGAAACAAGUGAAAUGCGAAGAUAAUAGUGAAUCAAAGAACACAUAACUUAUAUAGAAAGAGAAGAUGGUGAAAUCAAAAUUCAUUGAAGCUCAGAGAAUAAGAGAAUAACUUAUAUAGAGAAAAGUUAAUUUUAGUUUGCAAGAAAGAGCGAAAAUUGUUUAAAAGAUCAAAG
Molecule: long non-coding RNA, 236 nt
Filed under: Lathyrus oleraceus (garden pea)
Lineage: Eukaryota; Viridiplantae; Streptophyta; Magnoliopsida; Fabales; Fabaceae
Description: Pisum sativum (pea) long non-coding RNA (PSAT_LNC023381)
Source: RNAcentral